This 70-nucleotide transfer RNA is filed under the name Isodiametra pulchra. Its description in RNAcentral is "tRNA-Ser". Lineage: Eukaryota; Metazoa; Xenacoelomorpha; Acoela; Isodiametridae. The record is from RNAcentral.
AAGAAAGUGGCAGAGCAACAUGCAGUCAAUUUGAGUUUGAACGACAGAUGCAAAAAGUAUCUCUUUCUUU